Molecule: small nuclear RNA, 39 nt
Filed under: Cervus elaphus hippelaphus
Lineage: Eukaryota; Metazoa; Chordata; Mammalia; Artiodactyla; Cervidae
Source: RNAcentral
GUGUUUGCUUUGGCAGCACAUAUACUAAAUUAGGAGCAA